GCAAAACGCGAAGAACCUUACCAGGCCUUGACAUGCAGAGAACUUUCCAGAGAUGGAUUGGUGCCUUCGGGAACUCUGACACAGGUGCUGCAUGGCUGUCGUCAGCUCGUGUCGUGAGAUGUUGGGUUAAGUCCGUAACGAGCGCGAACCCUUGUCCUUAGUUACCAGCACGUUAUGGUGGGCACUCUAAGGAGACUGCCGGUGACAAACCGGAGGAAGGUGGGGAUGACGUCAAAUCAUCAUGGCCCUUACGGCCUGGGCUACACACGUGCUACAAUGGUCGGUACAGAGGGUUGCCAAGCCGCGAGGUGGAGCUAAUCUCACAAAACCGAUCGUAGUCCGGAUCGCAGUCUGCGAACUCGACUGCGUGAAGUCGGAAUCGCUAGUAAUCGCGAAUCAGAAUGUCGCGGUGAAUACGUUCCCGGGUCUUGUACACACCGAGUCGUGGGAGGCAAGGGCGACACAGGGGGGGGAUA
This 476-nucleotide ribosomal RNA is filed under the name uncultured bacterium. RNAcentral's name for it is "bacterial SSU rRNA". It matches the Rfam family "Bacterial small subunit ribosomal RNA", at positions 954 to 1435 of the family's 1533-position model. The record is from RNAcentral.